UAAAAUGUAUUGAAAGUAUGUUGCUGACAUAAUGGUGGAUGGUGAAUCUCCAACGGACUUCUGUGGUGUGUAUGGUAAUAAAACAUCCUACCAUGCGUCAGUCUUACAACUACUAUGAGGACAUGCAUUGUUCUAGACAAGAAAGUAUAUCAGGUAUACCUAAAGAUGGGUAACAUUAUAUACAUUACAUGGGAUUUAAUGUGGUGUGUUUCCUCCUGCUUUAGCAAAUAAGCCUCUAUGCAGUACCCAGGUUCUGAACACUGCUCCCCCAUUGGAAGAGUUUGAUCCCAAAACAGCAUUGCUAUUGAUUGAGCUGACCCGACAGACCUGGGAACUGUAUAAGAAGAACAAAACCCAGUUUUCCCAGACUGACAGUACGAAAUUCCUGGCACAUGGGCACACCAUCUCUGUGGAAAGGAUCCGAAGGAAAUGGAACAACAUGCUUGUGACAUACAAGUGGACCAAGGACAAACGCAGAGGGACGGGUGAAGGAAGAAUUACGUGGGAGUACUUCGAGGCCCUUGAUGAUCUCCUGUCUGAAACAGUGGGUGCACCACCUACAUCAAAAUCCAUCUUCUCCACACCAGUGUUUCCCACAGACACAAACCCACCUCAAGCACCACCUCACAUAACCCCUUCUCCAGCACCAUGCACACCCUGUCCUUCACACACCCAGAUGUCUGACAUGCAGGACACCAACACAGACGCUUCACACCACUCACAUCGCACCUCAAAGCAGGGGGGAAAAGGAAGAAGAAAUCAGAUCCUACACAGUCAUUUCUGCACAGUUAUGAGUAACAUGCACUGAGGCACACUAAAGUACUUGAGAGGCUUGUCACCAAACUGACAAAUGCUGGAGAACAAAGGUUACGGAAUCAAGAGAAGAGAAGAGGAAAUGUUGGCCUGUUUAAAGGACAUCUCUUGUACACUUCAUGAGAUGUCCCGGAAACAGGACCACAUUAUCUCACUGUUGGAAAACAGACCUUAAUAUGUUUUAUAUAAAUCAAUAUUUAAUUUUGAAUUCAUUUCUGUAUGUUUGUAUUGUUUGUGUACCUCCAUUAUUCUGAGUAAAUGGUAUGUUUGUAUUUACAUAUUUACCCAUGACAACCAAAAUGCACGAUAAAUGUGAGAAGGCUGGGCAAUGGAAUAUAAACCCUUUACAGAAUCCUCGAAACAGGUUCUGACCGACAAGGUGUUUUCCUUUUUAAACAAAAUCCACCCAAUAAAAUGGAAAACCAAGGUAAACACAUGUACACGUAUAGAGGCUAGUGUCAAAUCUGUAUUGGGAUCUCUAUGAAAUCAGAAUGAU
Polyodon spathula (Mississippi paddlefish) is the source of this 1309-nucleotide long non-coding RNA. RefSeq lists it as uncharacterized. The record is from RefSeq and is a predicted model, not a curated record. Lineage: Eukaryota; Metazoa; Chordata; Actinopteri; Acipenseriformes; Polyodontidae. The transcript is spliced from 3 exons.